This 389-nucleotide ribosomal RNA is filed under the name uncultured bacterium. RNAcentral describes it as "bacterial SSU rRNA". It matches the Rfam family "Bacterial small subunit ribosomal RNA", at positions 28 to 417 of the family's 1533-position model. The record is from RNAcentral.
GACGAACGCUGGCGGCGUGCUUAACACAUGCAAGUCGAGCGGUAAGGCCCCUUCGGGGGUACGACGAGCGGCGAACGGGUGAGUAACACGUGGGUGACCUGCCCUCAGCUCUGGGAUAAGCCUGGGAAACUGGGUCUAAUACCGGAUAUGACUCCAUGACGCAUGUCGUGGGGUGGAAAGCCUUGUGCGGCUGGGGAUGGGCCCGCGGCCUAUCAGCUUGUUGGUGGGGUGANGGCCUACCAAGGCGACGACGGGUAGCCGGCCUGAGAGGGCGACCGGCCACACUGGGACUGAGACACGGCCCAGACUCCUACGGGAGGCAGCAGUGGGGAAUCUUGCGCAAUGGGCGAAAGCCUGACGCAGCGACGCCGCGUGAGGGAUGACGGCCU